CCCAGGAGCCACAAGUGGCAACCACCUUUAUUGGGCCUAAAGCGUCCGUAGCCGGUUUUGUAAAUUUUCUGUGAAAUCGUUGCGCUUAACGUAACGGCGAGCAGAAAACACUGCAAGACUCGGGACCGGGAGGAGUCAGAGGUAUUUGAGGGGGAGCGGUAAAAUGCUAUAAUCCUUCAAGGACCACCUGUGGCGAAGGCGUCUGACUAGAACGGAUCCGACGGUGAGGGACGAAAGCUAGGGGAGCAAUCCGG
RNAcentral lists this ribosomal RNA (254 nucleotides) under uncultured archaeon. RNAcentral's name for it is "partial 16S ribosomal RNA". It matches the Rfam family "Archaeal small subunit ribosomal RNA", at positions 474 to 727 of the family's 1478-position model. The record is from RNAcentral.